CUACAAAUGAAUUGACGGGGCCGCACAAGCGGUGGAGCAUGUGGUUUAAUUCGACGCAACGCGAAGAACCUUACCAGGGCUUGACAUCCCCUGACCGCGUAUGAAAGUACGUUUUCACCUCGGGUGACAGGGAGACAGGUGGUGCAUGGUUGUCGUCAGCUCGUGUCGUGAGAUGUUGGGUUAAGUCCCGCAACGAGCGCAACCCCUACGUUUAGUUGCUAACGCGUGAAGGCGAGCACUCUAGACGAACUGCCGUUGACAAAACGGAGGAAGUGGGGAUGACGUCAAAUCAUCAUGCCCCUUAUGUUCUGGGCUACACACGUGCUACAAUGGCCGGUACAGACGGACGCAAAGCCGCGAGGUGGAGCAAAUCCGAAAAAGCCGGUCUCAGUUCGGAUUGCAGGCUGCAAUUCGCCUGCAUGAAGUCGGAAUCGCUAGUAAUCGCAGGUCAGCAUACUGCGGUGAAUACGUUCCCGGGCCUU
RNAcentral lists this ribosomal RNA (482 nucleotides) under uncultured Pelotomaculum sp. Its description in RNAcentral is "bacterial SSU rRNA". It matches the Rfam family "Bacterial small subunit ribosomal RNA", at positions 903 to 1382 of the family's 1533-position model. Lineage: Bacteria; Bacillati; Bacillota; Clostridia; Eubacteriales; Desulfotomaculaceae. The record is from RNAcentral.